GUCCGAUUAGCUCAGUGGAUAGAGCACCCGUCUCUUCGGCGGGGGGUCCCAAGUUCGAAUCUUGGCUCGGACA
Molecule: transfer RNA, 73 nt
Filed under: Actinomadura harenae
Lineage: Bacteria; Bacillati; Actinomycetota; Actinomycetes; Streptosporangiales; Thermomonosporaceae
Rfam family: tRNA
About the family: Transfer RNA (tRNA) molecules are approximately 80 nucleotides in length. Their secondary structure includes four short double-helical elements and three loops (D, anti-codon, and T loops).
Source: Rfam by way of RNAcentral